Molecule: non-coding RNA, 280 nt
Organism: Oncorhynchus mykiss (rainbow trout)
Lineage: Eukaryota; Metazoa; Chordata; Actinopteri; Salmoniformes; Salmonidae
Source: RefSeq, a predicted model, not a curated record
AUACUGUAACAGUCAUAGGCUGCUCUAGGUCUGUUAUUCUGUCACAUGAAACAUUCUAAUCAGAUGGACAGGCUCUGGUGUAUGUAUGAUGACGCUCUCCCUGUCUCUCUCCUGACCUGGACUAAGCGUCUUGUUUGGUUUGGUGUCCAAGGCUCCCUGUGUGGGGACUUCUGUGCCGUCUUGUGGUGUCAGCUGUGCUCUACCUGUCAGCUGAAAAGAGACAUAGAUCUACGUAAGGAGCAGGGGAUCUUCUGAGCUAAGAUGGCGUCAGAGAUCUGAA